AGCAGUAGCCGCGGGAAUACGUAGGUGGCAAGCGUUGUCCGGAAUUAUUGGGCGUAAAGGGCUCGCAGGCGGUUUCUUAAGUCUGAUGUGAAAGCCCCCGGCUCAACCGGGGAGGGUCAUUGGAGACUGGGAAACUUGAGUGCAGAAGAGGAGAGUGGAAUUCCACGUGUAGCGGUGAAAUGCGUAGAGAUGUGGAGGAACACCAGUGGCGAAGGCGACUCUCUGGUCUGUAACUGACGCUGAGGAGCGAAAGCGUGGGGAGCGAACAGGAUUAGAUACCCGCGUAGUCCCUGUCUCUUAUAA
RNAcentral lists this ribosomal RNA (303 nucleotides) under uncultured bacterium. RNAcentral describes it as "partial 16S ribosomal RNA". It matches the Rfam family "Bacterial small subunit ribosomal RNA", at positions 507 to 809 of the family's 1533-position model. The record is from RNAcentral.